GGCCUUGUGGCUGAGGGGGUGACAGUGUCAGCGUCAUGGCUCGCUGCGUAAGCUGAUCCUCCUGGGCUCGAAUCCCAGCAAGGCCU
This is a non-coding RNA of Mycena capillaripes, 86 nucleotides long. The record is from the annotation of a GenBank genome assembly. Lineage: Eukaryota; Fungi; Basidiomycota; Agaricomycetes; Agaricales; Mycenaceae.